RNAcentral lists this ribosomal RNA (2924 nucleotides) under Escherichia sp. E3659. RNAcentral describes it as "23S ribosomal RNA". It matches the Rfam family "Bacterial large subunit ribosomal RNA". Lineage: Bacteria; Pseudomonadati; Pseudomonadota; Gammaproteobacteria; Enterobacterales; Enterobacteriaceae. The record is from RNAcentral.
GGGUUGUGAGGUUAAGCGACUAAGCGUACACGGUGGAUGCCCUGGCAGUCAGAGGCGAUGAAGGACGUGCUAAUCUGCGAUAAGCGUCGGUAAGGUGAUAUGAACCGUUAUAACCGGCGAUUUCCGAAUGGGGAAACCCAGUGUGUUUCGACACACUAUCAUUAACUGAAUCCAUAGGUUAAUGAGGCGAACCGGGGGAACUGAAACAUCUAAGUACCCCGAGGAAAAGAAAUCAACCGAGAUUCCCCCAGUAGCGGCGAGCGAACGGGGAGCAGCCCAGAGCCUGAAUCAGUGUGUGUGUUAGUGGAAGCGUCUGGAAAGGCGCGCGAUACAGGGUGACAGCCCCGUACACAAAAAUGCACAUGCUGUGAGCUCGAUGAGUAGGGCGGGACACGUGGUAUCCUGUCUGAAUAUGGGGGGACCAUCCUCCAAGGCUAAAUACUCCUGACUGACCGAUAGUGAACCAGUACCGUGAGGGAAAGGCGAAAAGAACCCCGGCGAGGGGAGUGAAAAAGAACCUGAAACCGUGUACGUACAAGCAGUGGGAGCCUCUUUAAUGGGGUGACUGCGUACCUUUUGUAUAAUGGGUCAGCGACUUAUAUUCUGUAGCAAGGUUAACCGAAUAGGGGAGCCGAAGGGAAACCGAGUCUUAACUGGGCGUUAAGUUGCAGGGUAUAGACCCGAAACCCGGUGAUCUAGCCAUGGGCAGGUUGAAGGUUGGGUAACACUAACUGGAGGACCGAACCGACUAAUGUUGAAAAAUUAGCGGAUGACUUGUGGCUGGGGGUGAAAGGCCAAUCAAACCGGGAGAUAGCUGGUUCUCCCCGAAAGCUAUUUAGGUAGCGCCUCGUGAAUUCAUCUCCGGGGGUAGAGCACUGUUUCGGCAAGGGGGUCAUCCCGACUUACCAACCCGAUGCAAACUGCGAAUACCGGAGAAUGUUAUCACGGGAGACACACGGCGGGUGCUAACGUCCGUCGUGAAGAGGGAAACAACCCAGACCGCCAGCUAAGGUCCCAAAGUCAUGGUUAAGUGGGAAACGAUGUGGGAAGGCCCAGACAGCCAGGAUGUUGGCUUAGAAGCAGCCAUCAUUUAAAGAAAGCGUAAUAGCUCACUGGUCGAGUCGGCCUGCGCGGAAGAUGUAACGGGGCUAAACCAUGCACCGAAGCUGCGGCAGCGACACUAUGUGUUGUUGGGUAGGGGAGCGUUCUGUAAGCCUGUGAAGGUGUGCUGUGAGGCAUGCUGGAGGUAUCAGAAGUGCGAAUGCUGACAUAAGUAACGAUAAAGCGGGUGAAAAGCCCGCUCGCCGGAAGACCAAGGGUUCCUGUCCAACGUUAAUCGGGGCAGGGUGAGUCGACCCCUAAGGCGAGGCCGAAAGGCGUAGUCGAUGGGAAACAGGUUAAUAUUCCUGUACUUGGUGUUACUGCGAAGGGGGGACGGAGAAGGCUAUGUUGGCCGGGCGACGGUUGUCCCGGUUUAAGCGUGUAGGCUGGUUUUCCAGGCAAAUCCGGAAAAUCAAGGCUGAGGCGUGAUGACGAGGCACUACGGUGCUGAAGCAACAAAUGCCCUGCUUCCAGGAAAAGCCUCUAAGCAUCAGGUAACAUCAAAUCGUACCCCAAACCGACACAGGUGGUCAGGUAGAGAAUACCAAGGCGCUUGAGAGAACUCGGGUGAAGGAACUAGGCAAAAUGGUGCCGUAACUUCGGGAGAAGGCACGCUGAUAUGUAGGUGAAGCGACUUGCUCGUGGAGCUGAAAUCAGUCGAAGAUACCAGCUGGCUGCAACUGUUUAUUAAAAACACAGCACUGUGCAAACACGAAAGUGGACGUAUACGGUGUGACGCCUGCCCGGUGCCGGAAGGUUAAUUGAUGGGGUUAGCGCAAGCGAAGCUCUUGAUCGAAGCCCCGGUAAACGGCGGCCGUAACUAUAACGGUCCUAAGGUAGCGAAAUUCCUUGUCGGGUAAGUUCCGACCUGCACGAAUGGCGUAAUGAUGGCCAGGCUGUCUCCACCCGAGACUCAGUGAAAUUGAACUCGCUGUGAAGAUGCAGUGUACCCGCGGCAAGACGGAAAGACCCCGUGAACCUUUACUAUAGCUUGACACUGAACAUUGAGCCUUGAUGUGUAGGAUAGGUGGGAGGCUUUGAAGUGUGGACGCCAGUCUGCAUGGAGCCGACCUUGAAAUACCACCCUUUAAUGUUUGAUGUUCUAACGUGGACCCGUGAUCCGGGUUGCGGACAGUGUCUGGUGGGUAGUUUGACUGGGGCGGUCUCCUCCUAAAGAGUAACGGAGGAGCACGAAGGUUGGCUAAUCCUGGUCGGACAUCAGGAGGUUAGUGCAAUGGCAUAAGCCAGCUUGACUGCGAGCGUGACGGCGCGAGCAGGUGCGAAAGCAGGUCAUAGUGAUCCGGUGGUUCUGAAUGGAAGGGCCAUCGCUCAACGGAUAAAAGGUACUCCGGGGAUAACAGGCUGAUACCGCCCAAGAGUUCAUAUCGACGGCGGUGUUUGGCACCUCGAUGUCGGCUCAUCACAUCCUGGGGCUGAAGUAGGUCCCAAGGGUAUGGCUGUUCGCCAUUUAAAGUGGUACGCGAGCUGGGUUUAGAACGUCGUGAGACAGUUCGGUCCCUAUCUGCCGUGGGCGCUGGAGAACUGAGGGGGGCUGCUCCUAGUACGAGAGGACCGGAGUGGACGCAUCACUGGUGUUCGGGUUGUCAUGCCAAUGGCACUGCCCGGUAGCUAAAUGCGGAAGAGAUAAGUGCUGAAAGCAUCUAAGCACGAAACUUGCCCCGAGAUGAGUUCUCCCUGAGACUUUAAGUCUCCUGAAGGAACGUUGAAGACGACGACGUUGAUAGGCCGGGUGUGUAAGCGCAGCGAUGCGUUGAGCUAACCGGUACUAAUGAACCGUGAGGCUUAACCUUACAACGCCGAAG